RNAcentral lists this ribosomal RNA (500 nucleotides) under uncultured bacterium. RNAcentral describes it as "partial 16S ribosomal RNA". It matches the Rfam family "Bacterial small subunit ribosomal RNA", at positions 30 to 523 of the family's 1533-position model. The record is from RNAcentral.
AUUGAACGCUGGCGGAAUGCUUUACACAUGCAAGUCGAACGGCAGCACGGGGGCAACCCCGGUGGCGAGUGGCGAACGGGUGAGUAAUACAUCGGAACGUGCCCAGUCGUGGGGGAUAACGUAGUGAAAAUUACGCCAAUACCGCAUACGAUCUAUGGAUGAAAGCGGGGGAUCGCAAGACCUCGCGCGAUCGGAGCGGCCGAUAUCAGAUUAGGUAGUUGGUGGGGUAAAGGCCCACCAAGCCAACGAUCUGUAGCUGGUCUGAGAGGACGACCAGCCAAACUGGAACUGAGACACGGUCCAGACGCCUACGGGAGGCAGGAGUGGGGAAUUUUGGACAAUGGGCGAAAGCCUGAUCCAGCCAUUCCGCGUGCAGGAUGAAGGCCCUCGGGUUGUAAACUGCUUUUGUACAGAACGAGAAGGUUUCUACUAAUACUAGGAGCUCAUGACGGUACUGUAAGAAUAAGCACCGGCUAACUACGUGCCAGCCGCCGCAGUAA